CGGGUGAGUAACACGUGGAUAACCUACCUAUAAGACUGGGAUAACUUCGGGAAACCGGAGCUAAUACCGGAUAAUAUUUUGAACCGCAUGGUUCAAAAGUGAAAGACGGUCUUGCUGUCACUUAUAGAUGGAUCCUCGCUGCAUUAGCUAGUUGGUAAGGUAACGGCUUACCAAGGCAACGAUGCAUAGCCGACCUGAGAGGGUGAUCGGCCACACUGGAACUGAGACACGAUCCAG
This 237-nucleotide ribosomal RNA is filed under the name uncultured Staphylococcus sp. Its description in RNAcentral is "partial 16S ribosomal RNA". It matches the Rfam family "Bacterial small subunit ribosomal RNA", at positions 103 to 334 of the family's 1533-position model. The record is from RNAcentral. Lineage: Bacteria; Bacillati; Bacillota; Bacilli; Caryophanales; Staphylococcaceae.